RNAcentral lists this ribosomal RNA (433 nucleotides) under uncultured bacterium. Its description in RNAcentral is "bacterial SSU rRNA". It matches the Rfam family "Bacterial small subunit ribosomal RNA", at positions 958 to 1378 of the family's 1533-position model. The record is from RNAcentral.
AACGCGAAGAACCUUACCUACCCUUGACAUGUCCGAGAGCCGGAAGAGAUUUCGGUGUGCCCGAAAGGGAAUCGGAACACAGGUGCUGCAUGGCUGUCGUCAGCUCGUGUCGUGAGAUGUUGGGUUAAGUCCCGCAACGAGCGCAACCCUUGUCAUUAGUUGCUACAUUCAGUUGGGCACUCUAAUGAGACUGCCGGUGACAAACCGGAGGAAGGUGGGGAUGACGUCAAGUCCUCAUGGCCCUUAUGGGUAGGGCUUCACACGUAAUACAAUGGCGCGUACAGAGGGCUGCUAAGCCGCAAGGUAGAGCCAAUCCCUUAAAGCGGGUCGUAGUCCGGAUUAGAGUCUGCAACUCGACUCCAUGAAGUCGGAAUCGCUCUAAAAGGGGAUCCGCACGCCCGCGGCGAAUACGUUCCCCGGUUGUUUCCACGCG